UCCCGCAUGAUUGCAACGAAGUCGGGCUGGAGUUUUCAGUUCGAUUGCUCACCCGAAUCGAACGGCAGGUUGUUGGUUCGAAUCCAACUCGGGGAGCCA
This 99-nucleotide transfer RNA is filed under the name Microbacteriaceae bacterium. RNAcentral describes it as "tRNA-Ser". The record is from RNAcentral. Lineage: Bacteria; Bacillati; Actinomycetota; Actinomycetes; Micrococcales; Microbacteriaceae.